This is a long non-coding RNA of Suricata suricatta (meerkat), 439 nucleotides long. RefSeq lists it as uncharacterized. The transcript is spliced from 3 exons. Lineage: Eukaryota; Metazoa; Chordata; Mammalia; Carnivora; Herpestidae. The record is from RefSeq and is a predicted model, not a curated record.
ACCAGCACUCCCUCCCUACCACCAGCCUGCUCCCCGGUCACCCCCAAACCACGGGCCGUCACCGAACGGGCUGUCACUGAGGACAACUGGCGUUCACUCUGUGUCCCUAAGGCAGAAACAGAGCUGUGUCACUGCCCACAUCGGGCCUCACUGGCUGGAGAGCUGACCAAGGUCGGGGGCUGGCUGCUGGGUGCGCGGGGUGAGGACCAGGCGUGGGCCGGACAGAGAAGACGGAGCAGCAGCUUGGAGCCCAGAGGGCGUGGUCCACCGCACGGGAUGAGAGGCUCCAGACCAGCCAGUGUCAAACAUUGAUGUUAACGGGCGUGAAGAACCAACGGGGAAGAGAGGACCCAGGACACCUCCCCAGGCACCCGUCCCAGGGCCCCUUCAGGAAGCAGCCCCAGUGGGAAGAGAGGAGGCAGACGGCUGUCUCCCAGGG